This is a long non-coding RNA of Hyla sarda, 2185 nucleotides long. RefSeq lists it as uncharacterized. The transcript is spliced from 4 exons. NCBI's taxonomy places the organism in Eukaryota, Metazoa, Chordata, Amphibia, Anura, Hylidae. The record is from RefSeq and is a predicted model, not a curated record.
CUCUUACCUCUGAAUAGCAGAGACUGACUGCCAGCACUGAAUGAGAGACAGCCAGAGACCGCCUGAGACUGCCCAGGGGGAGUGGAGAGGGCGAGGCCAGCAGAGGACUGGGAGUGUGUCACACUAUCGUUUCCUUGCAGUCUCGCGGUGACCUCACUCCCGACAGUUCUCUUUGCCCAUAAAAGGAACAAACCCAAAACCAGGAAAUAAGGAGCGGACCUGCCGGGAGCCCCCUCCUCUGACAUAUAGAGCACCAGCUAACCAGGUGACCUGCAGCUUGACCUAUGGGCUCCUUGCUCAGCCCCCCUUUAUAAGGAAGGGAGGAGCUGCAAUCUGCCUCUUUUGCUCUUGGAUCCUGAGGUCAAGUUCAGUCCAGACGUCUCAGGGUCAGUGUCCAGCACAUCUGGAGGCCUCAAGCCUAACCUACAGCUACAUGUCACUUUCUCAGAAUCCUGAACAUCACAACUGACUUCUUAUUCGGUGAUAUGUCUCCUGUUCACUUAUUGCUGCAUAGCUGGAGAGAUAUGGCAUGCAAGGCCCUGAGAAAACGUUGUGUGAGAGCUGCAAUGACAACCAUUAUGGUCGACACCAAGCUUUCCCAGAAACCUGAACAAUACAUUUGCUUACUUUAAUCAGUAAUAUAUCUCCUGCUUAUUGAAUGUUGCAUGACUAGGCAGGUUUGACAUUCAGAAUCCUAGGACAGCUGAGUGUCCUCCCCUAUUAUUGACUAAAACAUCUGAGCGGUAUCUUUGCUGGAUUUUUUAAGCAGUUUUUCAGGCCGGAACCAGUCUUAAGCAGUUUUGUUAUCUUCCUUAUAAUGUCAUUUAAGAUGAAUUUCUGCAAAAAUUCGGCGCUGUGGGAGUGCCACCACCAGGGAAGCGGGAAGUUCCUGUUUCAGAUCUAUUAUUAACAGGGCAGAUAAUAUUGGGCUUUGUGUUUCUUGUUUCAUAAAUCAACCAAAGAUUUUAUUUCUGGGAAAGCUGGGUGACAACAAUAAUAGUCGCUUUAACCACCGCCAUCAUACAGGCCACAAUGAGAUAUCUACCUAGUGAUGUAGCACAAUGGGAGCCAGGAAUGUGUCCCCCUGUACUAGAGCAGGGCUGGGUAACUACCAAUAUGGCUGCCAUUACUAGGCUUCUCAUUCAACUUUACCAGACUACUGACAGGCAGAUCUGUCUGCAGUACUGGCCCAUGCUGCUAUCUUGGUGCGCUAAAUUCUUUGACCUCAUUGCUAUUGAAAUAGUUUACUUUCCCCCAUAAUGCGCUUCAACAUUGUAACAAACAUCACACCAUCCCGGUAGGAUUUCAUGCACUGUUCAUCCUGAGCUUUCUGGUUCAUGAACAGAAUGCUUUAAUGUCUGCACUGGUAUUCUCAGAUUUAGAAAGAAGAUUAUUAAUAGAAAAAAGACCUCUUGGUCCAACCUAUGUAUUAUUCUGGGUCUGUGAAAAGCUGGGUGAUGGGCAGUGUAAAAAAAAAAUCCUCCCCUCCAGUAAGGAUUUCAGUCACUUUUCAUCCUGGGCAUACUGGUUCAUGAAUAGAAUACUAGAAUAACUGUGUCAGUAAAUACAGAUUUAUGUAUCAUUCUGGGUCUUUGAGAAGCUGGGUGACUGGCAGUACAUGAAAUCUUCCCUUUAGUAAAGAUUUCAUGCACUAUUCAUCCUGAGCCUCCUGGUCCUUGAAUAGAAUACUAGAAUAACUAUGUCACUAUAUUCCGAUUAAUGUAUCAUUCUGGGUCUGUGAAAAGCUGGGUGACUAGCAGUACAUAAAAUCUUCCCUUUAGUAAAGAUUUCAUGCACUGUUCAUCCUGGGCCUCCUGGUCCUUGAAUAGAAUACUAGAAUAACUAUGUCACUAUAUUCCGAUUAAUGUAUCAUUCUGGGUCUGUGAAAAGCUGGGUGACUAGCAGUACAUAAAAUCUUCCCUUUAGUAAAGAUUUCAUGCACUGUUCAUCCUGGGCCUCCUGGUCCUUGAAUAGAAUACUAGAAGAAUUGUCACUAUAUUCAGAUUAAUGUAUCAUUCUGGGUCUGUGAAAAGCUGGGUGACUAGCAGUACAUAAAAUCUUCCCUUUAGUAAAGAUUUCAUGCACUGUUCAUCCUGAGCCUCCUGGUUCCUGAAUAGAAUAUUACAUUUACUGUGUCAGUAUAUUCAGAUUUAUGUUUCAUUCUGGGUCUGUGAAAAGCUGGGUG